UACGAAGGGGGCUAGCGUUGCUCGGAAUCACUGGGCGUAAAGCGUGCGCAGGCGGUCUUGCAAGACAGGUGUGAAAUCCCCGGGCUUAACCUGGGAACUGCACUUGUGACUGCAAGGCUGGAGUACGGCAGAGGGGGAUGGAAUUCCGCGUGUAGCAGUGAAAUGCGUAGAUAUGCGGAGGAACACCGAUGGCGAAGGCAAUCCCCUGGGCCUGUACUGACGCUCAUGCACGAAAGCGUGGGGAGCAAACAGG
This 253-nucleotide ribosomal RNA is filed under the name uncultured bacterium. RNAcentral's name for it is "partial 16S ribosomal RNA". It matches the Rfam family "Bacterial small subunit ribosomal RNA", at positions 524 to 776 of the family's 1533-position model. The record is from RNAcentral.